RNAcentral lists this ribosomal RNA (486 nucleotides) under uncultured bacterium. RNAcentral's name for it is "bacterial SSU rRNA". It matches the Rfam family "Bacterial small subunit ribosomal RNA", at positions 8 to 518 of the family's 1533-position model. The record is from RNAcentral.
AGAGUUUGAUCCUGGCUUAGGAUUAACGCUGGCGGCAUGCCUAAUACAUGCAAGUCGAAUGGUUAGCUUGCUAACCAUGGCGAACGGGUGAGUAACACGUAGGUAACCUGUCUUCAAGACGAGGAUAACCAUUGGAAACGAUGGAUAAUACUGGAUAGGACAAAUCCCCGCAUGAGGAGAUGUUUAAAGGAGCAAUCCACUUGAUGAGGGGCCUGCGGUGCAUUAGCUAGUUGGUGAGGUAAAGGCCCACCAAGGCGAUGAUGCAUAGCCGGACUGAGAGGUUGAACGGCCACAAUGGAACUGAGAACGGUCCAUACUCCUACGGGAGGCAGCAGUAGGGAAUUUUCGGCAAUGGGCGGAAGCCUGAACCCGAGCAAUGCCGCGUGAAGGAAGGAGGUCUUCGGAUUGUAAACUUCUGUUUUCGGUGAAGAAACAAAUGACGGUAGCCGAAGAGGAAGUCACGGCUAACUACGUGCCAGCAGCCGC